Molecule: transfer RNA, 68 nt
Filed under: Marmota monax (woodchuck)
Lineage: Eukaryota; Metazoa; Chordata; Mammalia; Rodentia; Sciuridae
Description: tRNA.Ala
Source: RNAcentral
GGAUUGUGGCUUGGUGGUAGAGCAAUCGUCUGGCAUUUGCGAGGCCCUGGGUUCGAUCCUCAGCACCA